UCCACGAUUUGCCUUUUCUAAUGCUUAUAUCAUGGUUCUCCCACUCUCUCUUUUCCAGGUCUGCGGGCUUAGAUCUCCCAUCUCCUGCUGAGCCUGUUGUUCCAGGAUACGCACCGGGGAAUACGAUGGAAACACAAGAGCCACUGAGUCGGAUGGUGUUCUGGAUCCAACUAGCCUCUUUCCAGGGGUCAGUUGACUACGGGACGUGGAGAAAUGAUGGCUGCAGGCUAGCCUUGCUGGAGAGAAGUUAAGCAGCCCAGCAGAAUUCAUCCUCACAAUGCAGCCUUGUUCGCGCCCACAGUGUCUGAGCCAGCAUGUGGCACGCGGCGGAAUGAACCGAGGCUUUGUGUGUGGGUGUGUCACAGAUAUUGUUUUCAUUUGUCUGUUUUCUCCGCAUUUUCCUUCCUGUUUCAUCAUGAAACCAAUCUCAUCAGGACCAGCCCUCCUCGGAGGUGAGACUUGUGUGGGAAAAGUUUGGGAACAGGAAUAGGAUAGGAGUGGGGGAAGGUGUGUGACAAUACAACCUGUUAUAUAUGAUGUGGCGUUUAAUUAGAGCUGUUGUCAACAGCUAUGAUUAAAGAGACUGAUUGCUGUUGGAACAAAGGACCUCCUAAAUCUCUCGUGGUUCAUUUUUUUGGACCCAUGGCUAUACACAGAGUGUCUGGCAUGAAUCUGGAGCAUCGACACCCUUAUUUCACAAACAUACUCAGUAUUGAGGUGGCUGGGUUCAUGCUGAUCAGGAAGCAACCUGCAGAUUGCCUCAAAAGAUGCAAGAAUAAUACAACUUUUCGAUAAACGUUAAGGGAAAGGGUUCCAAAAAAGUGUGACGCGACCAUUAAAUCCAAAGUUAUUGAAACAGAACUAGAGAAGUCUAGUAAGUGCUGUCUUGUUAUUUUUCCACAUAGCAAGAGAAGGUGCAACAUGAAAGAUGGAAGCAAACAUAAUAAUAAUAAUAAUAAUACAUUUAAUUUAGAGGCGCCUUUCAAGACACCCAAGGUCACCUGAACAUAGUUAUGUUAUAUUGUAAAUGAAAUACUAUUUAUUAUUAUUUAUAGUUAUUAUUAUU
Molecule: long non-coding RNA, 1066 nt
Filed under: Gadus morhua (Atlantic cod)
Lineage: Eukaryota; Metazoa; Chordata; Actinopteri; Gadiformes; Gadidae
Description: lncRNA (ENSGMOG00000032470.1)
Source: RNAcentral